RNAcentral lists this ribosomal RNA (254 nucleotides) under uncultured bacterium. RNAcentral describes it as "partial 16S ribosomal RNA". It matches the Rfam family "Bacterial small subunit ribosomal RNA", at positions 524 to 776 of the family's 1533-position model. The record is from RNAcentral.
UACGUAGGGGGCAAGCGUUGUCCGGAUUUAUUGGGCGUAAAGAGCUCGUAGGUGGUUCGGUAAGUCGGAUGUGAAAUCUCCAGGCUCAACCUGGAGGGGUCAUUCGAUACUGCUGUGACUAGAGUUCGGUAGGGGAGUGUGGAAUUCCUGGUGGAGCGGUGAAAUGCGUAGAUAUCAGGAGGAACACCAAUGGCGAAGGCAGCUCGCUGGGACGGUACUGACGCUGAGGCGCGAAAGCGUGGGGAGCAAACAGG